RNAcentral lists this ribosomal RNA (386 nucleotides) under uncultured bacterium. Its description in RNAcentral is "bacterial SSU rRNA". It matches the Rfam family "Bacterial small subunit ribosomal RNA", at positions 30 to 417 of the family's 1533-position model. The record is from RNAcentral.
AUUGAACGCUGGCGGCAUGCCUUACACAUGCAAGUCGAACGGCAGCGCGGGGCAACCUGGCGGCGAGUGGCGAACGGGUGAGUAACAUAUCGGAACAUACCCUAGAGUGGGGGAUAACGUAGCGAAAGUUACGCUAAUACCGCAUACGCACUAAGGUGGAAAGUGGGGGAUCUUCGGACCUCAUGCUCAUGGAGUGGCCGAUAUCUGAUUAGCUAGUUGGUGAGGUAAAGGCUCACCAAGGCGACGAUCAGUAGCUGGUUUGAGAGAACGACCAGCCACACUGGAACUGAGACACGGUCCAGACUCCUACGGGAGGCAGCAGUGGGGGAAUUUUGGACAAUGGGGGCAACCCUGAUCCAGCAAUGCCGCGUGAGUGAAGAAGGCCU